RNAcentral lists this ribosomal RNA (216 nucleotides) under Triticum aestivum (bread wheat). Its description in RNAcentral is "partial small subunit ribosomal RNA". The record is from RNAcentral. Lineage: Eukaryota; Viridiplantae; Streptophyta; Magnoliopsida; Poales; Poaceae.
AUGAUGAUCUCAUUAUUAACUAUUCUCGCAAAACCGCUCCACAGAACCGCUGUUAACCAUUGGUCGUUGAGGAGGCGUAUUCUCAAAGGACCCAUAUCUACUGCUGUGUUAAUGGGGGCGUGGUUUGGUAAUACGCCAAUUUGGCCACUUUUAGUGGAUAAAAUGAUUUCUUUCACUUCACAAUCCCAAAUAAUUCGCUUAGGAGUCAGUACAUAA